GUCAAACUUUCUGUAGCCCAUGGUACCUUCUACACAUAGAGUAUAUUAAAUAUGUAAAAAUUCCUCCUAUGAAAUCCACACAAUGUUCAAUCAAAGAAUAUAAGAGGAAAACACUUUUUUUUUUUUUGAGGAAGAUUAACCCUGAGCUAACUGCUGCCAAUCCUCUUUUUGCUGAGGAAGACGGGCCCUGAGCUAACAUCCGUGCUCAUCUUCCUCUACUUUAUACGUGGGGACGCCUACCACAGCAUGACUUUUUGCCAAGAGGCACCAUGUCCGCAGCCGGGAUCUGAACCAGCGAACCCUGAGCCACCAAGAAGCAAAAGGCACGCACUUAACCACUGUGCCACCAGGCCAGCCCCAUGGAAAAAACUCUUGAAUUUAAUUUUGUGACAGGGGAAUGUGAUGGAAGCAGGAAAGCCCCAGACAAUAGUUGCAAACAGAAAAGAAAAUGAUUAUAGAAAAUGAUCCUGUCAGAGGAGAGGCCUCAAGGAAGUCAUAACCUUGAUUAAGCAUCGAAUUCUUUCAUGAAUAUGGAGUACUUGCCUUUGACAGCUCUGUCAGUUUGUGAGCUCGACCACAAAGCCUAAUCAGGGUUCAAAGACUGGUGAGAAUGACAACUCAGACUCAGCUAAAGUUGCUGUCAGUUCGGUUUACCACCGUCCUGGCAAAUAAGGAAUACGAAGGAUACACAAGAUGAGGAUGUGUGUCGGGGAGAAAAAGCUGCUGGCGCACUCCAAGUGCCUUGCUGUGGGUGACUGGGAUAAAACUCUUUGUUGAAUGAGUCCCAUGUGGAAUGAAAAAUUAAACACGUCAGA
RNAcentral lists this long non-coding RNA (815 nucleotides) under Equus caballus (horse). RNAcentral's name for it is "lncRNA (ENSECAG00000048616.1)". Lineage: Eukaryota; Metazoa; Chordata; Mammalia; Perissodactyla; Equidae. The record is from RNAcentral.